Molecule: small nucleolar RNA, 118 nt
Organism: Xenia sp. Carnegie-2017
Lineage: Eukaryota; Metazoa; Cnidaria; Anthozoa; Malacalcyonacea; Xeniidae
Product: small nucleolar RNA SNORD67
Exons: 1
Source: RefSeq, a predicted model, not a curated record
UAUUUGAAAUGAUGAGUGGCACGCUUGCUUCAAGAUAGGCACAGUCACGUGUUUGUCUUGAUGCCUGAAUAUGGUCUUGUGUUGACAUUCACAAGUGCUCAGGGGCCAUCUGAUCAAA